UACGGAGGGUGCAAGCAUUGAUCGGAAUUACUGGGCGUAAAGGGCGCGUAGGCGGCCGAGAAAGUCAGAUGUGAAAUUCCGGGGCUCAACCCCGGAGCUGCAUUUGAAACUUCUUGGCUAGAGUGCAGUUAGGGAAACGGAAUUCCACGUGUAGCGGUGAAAUGCGUAGAUAUGUGGAAGAACACCGGUGGUGAAGACGGUUUUCUGGGCUGUAACAGACGCUGAGGCGCGAAAGCUAGGGGAGCAAACAGGAUUAGAAA
RNAcentral lists this ribosomal RNA (260 nucleotides) under uncultured bacterium. RNAcentral describes it as "partial 16S ribosomal RNA". It matches the Rfam family "Bacterial small subunit ribosomal RNA", at positions 524 to 784 of the family's 1533-position model. The record is from RNAcentral.